UUGGAGGGCAAGUCUGGUGCCAGCAGCCGCGGUAAUUCCAGCUCCAAUAGCGUAUAUUAAAGUUGUUGCAGUUAAAAAGCUCGUAGUUGAAUUUCGGGAUUCUUCCGUUGGUCAGGCUAACAAGUCUGUACUAGCGUGUAGAAUCUCUACCUUCUGGGGAACCAUCAUGUUAUUAAUUUAGCGUGGUGGGAAACCAGGACCUUUACCUUGAAAAAAUUAGAGUGUUCAAAGCAGGCUUACGUCUGAAUACAUUAGCAUGGAAUAAUAAAAUAGGACGGUGGUCCUGUUUUGUUGGUUUCUGAAUCACCGUAAUGAUUAAUAGGGAUAGUUGGGGGCAUUAGUAUUCAAUUGUCAGAGGUGAAAUUCUUGGAUUUAUUGAAGACUAACUUCUGCGAAAGCAUUUGCCAAGGAUGUCUUCAUUAAUCAAGAACGAAAGUUAGGGGAUCGAAGACGAUCAGAUACCGUCGUAGUCUUAACCAUAAACUAUGCCGACUAGGGAUCGGACGAUGUUAAAUUUUAUUGACUCGUUCGGCGCCUUACGGGAAAC
Molecule: ribosomal RNA, 547 nt
Filed under: uncultured Glomeromycotina
Lineage: Eukaryota; Fungi; Glomeromycota
Description: SSU rRNA
Rfam family: Eukaryotic small subunit ribosomal RNA
Source: RNAcentral